RNAcentral lists this long non-coding RNA (393 nucleotides) under Pongo abelii (Sumatran orangutan). RNAcentral's name for it is "lincRNA". The record is from RNAcentral. Lineage: Eukaryota; Metazoa; Chordata; Mammalia; Primates; Hominidae.
GCAACACCUACGUCACAGGCUGUCCUGACAAUUAACAUGUGAGAAGUACUUAGAACACUGCUUGGCACAAUGUGCACCAAGUCCCCUCCAAGGAGAGACCCUGGGUAAUGAUGAUCUUUGGUGUCAACUAAGAUUCUUAAGAACUGGAUCCUCAUUGUGAUUCCUAUGUGACCUGAAGGACGUAUGAAAUUCACCAAAGUCUCUACCACAGACAUUCUCAGAUGGUCCUAAUAAAAAGAAGAAACCCAAACCAGAACUGGUGGUCCACAUUGUGAGAGUUGCUGAAUAUCAUCACAAAGCAAUAAUUAUCCAACAGCAUGCUUGGUGGCUCAACAUUCUGAAAGGCAAAUGUCAAGGGCAUAUAGUCUCAACCAUGUUGCUGAUGGGAGCUCA